Long non-coding RNA from Cephus cinctus (wheat stem sawfly), 169 nucleotides. RefSeq lists it as uncharacterized. Lineage: Eukaryota; Metazoa; Arthropoda; Insecta; Hymenoptera; Cephidae. The transcript is spliced from 3 exons. The record is from RefSeq and is a predicted model, not a curated record.
CGACAAAGUUCCGCCACGGAGUUUCAUCGCGGCUUCGAGCACGGCUCGACAAAGGGACUUUGCUGCUUGGAAGUUUCUUCAGCGGGGGACCAUCCUGGCGGGGACCACUUCUUCACCACUUACUACUACGUAAUUAUUAGCUGAUAAUGGAAGGAUCGAUAAGGCGCCG